Molecule: non-coding RNA, 201 nt
Organism: Vicia faba (fava bean)
Lineage: Eukaryota; Viridiplantae; Streptophyta; Magnoliopsida; Fabales; Fabaceae
Source: the annotation of a GenBank genome assembly
AUGCUCCAGCGGCUUCUUCGUAGUGACGAGAAUGACGAGAUAAUCAGAGAUAUGUUUCUUCUUUCUCUUCUUAUGUUGACGAUUACGAAUCUUCUUCCUCGACUCUUCUUCCAUUUUCGUUUCCGCGUUUCAAAUCAUGUGAUGUGUAUUGUUGUUGUUGAUUGCAGAAUGAAGCUCGUUGAAAUUGCGAUGAUUUGCUGA